CAAGCGGUCGGAGCCGCGUAAGCGGUGACGGCGUGCCUUUUGCAUAAUGAACCUACGAGUUACCAUGUCUGGCAAGGAUAAGCGUCAUGAGACGCGCAUCCGCAGUGAAAGCGAGCCUGAACAGGGCGUCGAGUCAGAUGGGGUAGACGCGAAACCAAGUGAUCUACACUUGCCCAGGUUGAAGUCCGGGUAACACCGGAUGGAGGACCGCACGGAUAAGCGUUGAAAAGCUUCCCGAUGAGGUGAGUGUAGGAGUGAAAGGCCAAUCAAACUUGGAGAUAGCUCGUACUCCCCGAAAGGCAUUUAGGUGCCGCGUGCGGCGAUCUCCGUGAGAGGUAGAGCGACCGAUAGGUCAAGAGGGCUUCACCGCCUAUCAAGUCCUGACGAACUCCGAAUGCUUAAGGUUUGCAGUUGUGCAGUAAGGGGGCGGGUGCUAAGGUCCGUUCCCGAGAGGAGAAGAAUCCAGACCGCCGUCUAAGGUCCCGGAGUUCUGCCUGAGUUAGUCUAACGAAGUCUGGUCCCCGCGACAGCCAGGAUGUUGGCUUGGAAGCAGCCAUUCAUUUAAAGAGUGCGUAACAGCUCACUGGUCGAGGGUCCGGGCAUGGAUAAUAAUCGGGUAUAAGUCAGAUACCGAAGGCGCGGGAUAGUAAUGUAUAUUAAAAGUAUCGGUAGGGGAGCAUUCCAUCGGCGUUGAAUGGUGAGGGUAACCGAUCCUGGAGCUUAUGGAAAAGCAAAUGUAGGUAUAAGUAACGAUAAAAAGGGUGAGAUUCCCUUUCGCCGAAAGACCGAGGUUUCCCGGGCGAUGCCAAUCAGCCCGGGGUUAGUCGGGUCCUAAGUCUCAGCCGAACGGCGAAGGCGAUGGCAGAUGCGGUUAAUAUUCCGCAACUCGCAUAUACAGUGAUGUGGAGACGGAGCAGUGACACUGCCGCGCCCUGACGGAAUAGGGCGUUUAAGUGCGUAGGCUAUGAGGGAGGCAGGCAAAUCCACCUUCCGAGUUGAACCAUGAAAGUACAGGUAAUCCUUCGGGAUAACUUGAGUGCAGGUAAUCAUACUUCCGAGAAAAUCCGCUAAACUUAAUGUAUGUGCGACCCGUACCGCAAACGGACACACGUGGUCGGGUAGAAUAUACUAAGGCGUUGAGAGAUUCAUGGUUAAGGAACUAGGCAAAUUGACCCCGUAACUUCGGGAUAAGGGGUCCUCAUAGCAAUAUGAGGCGCAGAGAAUAGGUCCAGGCAACUGUUUAACAAAAACACAGGGCUGUGCAAACUCGAAAGAUGACGUAUACAGCCUGACACCUGCCCGGUGCCGGAAGGUUAAGAGGAGAGCUCAGAGCUUCGGCUCGAAGGUUUGAAUUGAAGCCCCGGUAAACGGCGGCCGUAACUAUAACGGUCCUAAGGUAGCGAAAUUCCUUGUCGGGUAAGUUCCGACCUGCACGAAUGGUGUAAUGAUCCGGACGCUGUCUCAACCAUGAUCUCAGUGAAAUUGUAGUAUCGGUGAAGAUGCCGAUUACCCGCGAUGGGACGAAAAGACCCCGUGAACCUUUACUGCAGCUUAGCAUUGACCUUGGUCAUCCGAUGUGUAGGAUAGGCCGGAGGCUUCGAAGCGGGUGCGCCAGCAUUCGUGGAGCCAUCCUUGAAAUACGGCCCUUUGGCUGUCUGAGGUCUAACGCGCCUAUGGUGCGGACACUGCUUGGUGGGUAGUUUGACUGGGGUGGUCGCCUCCAAAAGCGUAACGGAGGCUUCCAAAGGUGCCCUCUGGCCGAUUGGUAACCGGCCCUUUAGAGUGCAAUGGCAUAAGGGCGCUUGACUGGGAGGCAGACAUGCCGAGCAGGCAGGAAACUGGGGCAUAGUGAUCCGGUGCAAGUGUAUGGAAACUGCAUCGCUCAAAGGAUAAAAGGUACUCCGGGGAUAACAGGCUGAUCCCCCCCAAGAGCUCAUAUCGACGGGGUGGUUUGGCACCUCGAUGUCGGCUCGUCACAUCCUGGGGCUGGAGAAGGUCCCAAG
This 2003-nucleotide ribosomal RNA is filed under the name human oral metagenome. Its description in RNAcentral is "bacterial LSU rRNA". It matches the Rfam family "Bacterial large subunit ribosomal RNA", at positions 567 to 2569 of the family's 2925-position model. The record is from RNAcentral.